Physcomitrium patens is the source of this 825-nucleotide long non-coding RNA. RefSeq lists it as uncharacterized. NCBI's taxonomy places the organism in Eukaryota, Viridiplantae, Streptophyta, Bryopsida, Funariales, Funariaceae. The record is from RefSeq and is a predicted model, not a curated record.
AGCGACCCCCGAAGUCGGCAAGUGGCCCAGAUCCCUAUGGUAGGAAGCAGUAACGAAGAAAUCAAUGGCGCGUGUAAUUAGAUGAUCUCUUUUAUGCGGGAUGAUGCUGAUUCUUCAUUUGUCUGCACCGCUUCUGUCGUGCACGUAAGCUUUCCGAGAAGGAACAUCGCGCAGCAUAUCUCUUGCUCGAAUCUUCGAAGUUGACGGUGGAAGUUUGGGCUGUCGACCACAGGGUAUCCAUCCUUUCCUGGAUCGGGCAUUGAAUUAGGGUUUCUGAGGAUGUUCAUCACUUCGUUCGUUGCAGAUAGUGUUUUCUCCGGAACUGCUCUCCCGGCAGCGAGUUGAAGAUUGCGCUUGGGUAAGAACUGAGAAUAAUCCGAAAUUGUAACUAAGCUUCGGUGAGAGUGAGAGGGCUUCAAGGAAUUUUCCGUGGGGGUUGAGCAGGAUUCAACUGGAACUGCUUUCAGCAUUUGCAACAGAAGGCAAGGAUUAUUGCAACGCCGCGAAGCGCGAGCUCGAGAAGAGAAGGCGAUACGAAUCAACCUGUGAAGGACACGAUGAGACGAGAGCAGCGCCGAAGCUUGAGGAGGAGGAAGGGAUUUCGCUGCACGAGAUGGCGCAACGCUUUGCUGCAGCGCAGAUUAGGGUUUCGUCAAAUUAGGGUUUUUUCUGCAGACAGACAAGACAAGCAAGCUGGCUGCCCAUCUUCUUCAUUGAACCACUACUAUGCAUAAAUCAAUGUUUAAAAUAAACAAAUAAAUAAAUAAAACGUAAACAAAUGCAAUGUGUUGGUAAGAAAGAGUUUGGAGGCAAUUUUAUGAAUAC